This 120-nucleotide ribosomal RNA is filed under the name Trichomonas vaginalis G3. Its description in RNAcentral is "5.8S ribosomal RNA". It matches the Rfam family "5.8S ribosomal RNA", at positions 1 to 123 of the family's 154-position model. Rfam says of the family: 5.8S ribosomal RNA (5.8S rRNA) is a component of the large subunit of the eukaryotic ribosome. It is transcribed by RNA polymerase I as part of the 45S precursor that also contains 18S and 28S rRNA. Lineage: Eukaryota; Parabasalia; Trichomonadida; Trichomonadidae. The record is from Rfam by way of RNAcentral.
GUCUCUAAGCAAUGGAUGUCUUGGCUCCUCACACGAUGAAGAACGUGGCAUAAUGUGUUAAGUAACCGGAGUUGCAAACAUCAUGACAGGUUAAUCUUUGAAUGCAAAUGCGCUAAACUC